AACGCUUGCUAGAAAUCGUGUCCUGACUACUCCGUACUUCGGGCCCCUUUCACCUUUUCUUCACCUUGAUAUGAUCAUAGUUAAUGAAAAAAAAAAAAGAAAAAAAGAACAAGAAAGAAAGAAAAAAUCUCAAGAUUACUUUCUUGGGAUAUCUGCGCAGGAAAUAAUCCGCUGGGAUGCGAUAAGCCAGAAACAGGGCGACGCGGCAUGAAAUUCUGCAAAUUCUGCAGUUUUGAUCAUCUUCGGAAGGAAUGCCCCAGCUUUCUUUACCUUACUUGCCUCCGUCGAGAUGCGCCCGAGACACCAGGUAGCACCCUGCGCUGCGUCCUUCAGCAGUAGUGUUACUUGUGGAGGUAAAUAUCAGUUGCUGAUGGAAAGUCGUUGAACUUCUGGGCAUGGUGGCACACGUAGCGCCCGCAUUAUUACUAAAUUACUCCGUACUUAGCCGAUGACGUCUGUCGUCUCCGUUUGCAGGAACGAUUUGCCUACGUAUGGACAGCCACCAGCACUGCAAUGGGCCCUGGAAUGGUUUACUUGUCUAGAGAGGGGUUUUCCCAUCCACUGCGCGUAGAGGUUCAACAGAUGCCCAUUGGUCUUAAUCUCUUUGAACUCCGGCCCAGUAUCAGAUAUAACAUGUGGAUUUGAGAGUGGUGGCUAAAUGCAAGGGUUGUGGAAACAGUUGACGUCUUUGCAGCAGAGCUACACAUAUAUGUAGGGGUUGAAGACGCCGCUCGGUUCAACGUAUUGCACGGUAGCUGUAGACAGAAUACGCAAGUCCCUUUUGUGGAAUCGUAGGAAACAGAGGCAUGCCUCAUGUACGGAAGUUCAAUAGGGGAUGAGUUCGAUUAAAUGCCGCAAUGAGUAUUUUUCAAAUG
This 875-nucleotide small RNA is filed under the name Histoplasma capsulatum. RNAcentral describes it as "hypothetical RNA". The record is from RNAcentral. RNAcentral also lists the same sequence under 1 other name. Lineage: Eukaryota; Fungi; Ascomycota; Eurotiomycetes; Onygenales; Ajellomycetaceae.